CUGAUACUCGGAAAAGUUUUUUGGUUUUCCAGUAGUUAUUCUAACAUUUUUUUUAUUUAUAAUUCUUGCAAUCUUGGUGCUGUAGCUGGUUCUCAAUGAGUUAAUGUAGAUUUUGUUGCUAUUCAGAUAGCGGAGAAUAUGAGAUUUGUAAAUGAUGUGAAGACUUUAGUUCUUCAGCUUAGACAUGAACCUGGUCUCUUGCUACCUGAUAAUUAUGCAGCAAAAGAACUUUCUCCAAAAAUAGGGGUACCUGUGUUUCUUGGGAAUUCUACUUCUGGAGACCUAUCUGGCGUAUCGAAUAUGACCAACUCUAUUCCAUUCAUUGCUGAGAGUUACAACUAUGUGGAAAACUCUGAUCAGACUACCGAGUUUGUUGGUGACACAUCUCAUUCUUUAGCAAGACAUAUCCAGGAUAAUUUGCAGUUUAAUGGUGCUACAUUUCAUACCUCUAGCUCGAGCCAAAGCCACGUUCAGCUUGAUGAUGAUCUCAAGGAAGCGAAGUUUGCUACGAGAAUGAAGACAAACUCUACUUUGGAAAAUGAAGUAGUGACAAAAGCUGAAGUUAUAUUGAAUCUGGAGAUGCUGAUGAACCAACAGGCAUAUCUGCACAUCCCAGGAUCUGCUUUGCAUCAACUAUCCUCCAGCAGUUCAUCUACUAUCGACAGUGGCAGCUCAAGGUGGGUGGAAAAGGGAAUGUCAAAUGCUGGUACUCAGUGCCAUUUUGGCAGCGCCAAUAUGUCAUCUGGCCUGUUGACGUCUGUGCCGAGAAUAAAUUCAGACCUGAUAUCUAGUUCUCAUGAAAAUCCUGUUGACCAUUUAACGUCCAAUCACUUGCUUGUAUAUGACUCAGGUAGCAGACAUUAUUGUACAGAUGACAGAAACGGGAAACGCGAGUUGAAUGUGUGCAAUGAAAGAAUGGAAAACAAUAUAAUUCAAGCUCGUGGUAUCCCCCUGUCCAAACAUGAUGAGCAUAAGAAUUCAGUUGAGUUUCUACCUGAUUUCGUUCUAGCUGACAGAAAGUAUGAACUUGAAGGUUGGAGUCAAUCUUUUAGAAAUACUGAAUAUCGAGAUGCAUGUAUAGGACCUCAACCAGGAGAUGAUUUGUUUGAUAUUUUGGGAAUUGAAUUUAAGAACAAACUAUUCAACAGUCACUGGAAUAAUAGUUUGAAAAAUGCAUCAUACUCGAACAUGGUUAAUCUGGAUAAAAAAAAUUCUCCAUCUGUAAAAGCUCAGGACACUGCUUCCGAAAUAUAUUCUCUUAACUGUGGAAACUCCAAUGGCAGUGAACAUCUGUUAGACGCUGUGGUCUCUGAGGUUCAUUCUUCUGCUAAGCAGCGCUCAGAUGAUAAUGUUUCUUGCAGGACAACAAUGACAAAUAACAGUAGCCACUGCAGACCUAAUGUUGAACUCCCCUACAGCCAGGCUCAGGUUCUUGAUCAAAUUAAGGAAGAGUUAUUUGGUGUUCCAGAAUAUCUGGCAGAAGCAGAAGCAAUGAGUUGUUCAUUUUUAUCUGGAUCUUCUAAGGAUUAUUCGAGCACCUAUUCCCUGAAUAGUUCCAUUUAUGGAUCACAAAUAAGUUCAUCAGUUGUAAAGGGUCAGGACAUCAAACAGAGUAGCUGUGCAUCUACAGGAUACUCUAAGAAGCCUGAUGAAAUGUGCAAAACAAAUCGCAAGAGGCUUAAACCAGGAGAAAAUCAUAGGCCAAGGCCGAAGGAUCGCCAGAUGAUCCAAGAUCGUGUAAAGGAAUUAAGGGAAAUUGUGCCAAAUGGGGCAAAGGUGACAUUUCUUGUCUUUGGCUCAAACUAUUUCCUUGUCUCUAUAGGCAGAUAAUUCUUAUAUCCUGUAGUAAUUCUAUUGAUUUGGUCAACAGUGUAGCAUUGAUGCUCUUCUCGAACGGACUAUCAAGCAUAUGCUUUUUUUGCAAAAUGUCACAAGGCAUGCAGACAAGCUGAAACAAACAGGAGAGCCAAAGGUGCGAGAUACCGACUUGUUUUUCUCGAGUGUUGGAUACUACUUUUUGACCUAUGUUAUGCAUUGAGCGAAUUGGACUUGAGAGAUGCUGUUUUUGUUCAGAGAUAUAAAGCAUGUCUGGCCUUACUGAAAAGAGAUAAUUUUUUUGCCAAACAUGUUGAGCUUUUUCGGAAGUUACUUUUUUGGGGAAUUUUUAGUUCUAAAACUUAAUUUUAUAAAAUUCUUAUUUUCUACAGAAGUACUUUCAUUUUUUUAGGCUUAGCCAAACAUUUUUAUUAUAAUCUACAUUAGCAGACAGUUUAUGUGAAUUUUAUGAAAAACAUAUUAAUAUGGAAAUUUAGAAUGCAAAAGUUGGCAAGAAGAGUAAUACAAUGUCCAAUGGACAUCUCAAUAGGCUUUACAUAGGAAAGUUGAGAAAUAAAUAUGAGAUUGUUCAUCUUCUUAAGCUUCAGAUUGUUAGCAAGGAUGGCGGUUUGCUCUCGAAAGAUAACUUUGAAGGAGGAGCAACUUGGGCAUAUGAAGUUGGUUCGCAGGCUAUGGUAUGCCCUAUCAUAGUUGAAGAUCUAAAUCAACCCCGUCAAAUGCUUGUGGAGGUAAUCACUGUCUUCUGUUACAUCUCAAGUCCACGUGAUAACUGUUACUGGCCAUUGUACACAGUGGCAGAUGUUUGUUGUUCUUUUCCUCACUGUUUUCCUUUGUGGCAGAUGCUUUGUGAAGAGAGAGGUUUGUUUUUAGAAAUUGCUGACGUAAUUCGAGGGUUGGGGUUAACCAUUUUGAAGGGGGUUAUGGAAACUCGGAAAGACAAUAUAUGGGCACACUUUGCUGUGGAGGUAAUAGUUAUGAAUUCGUUGGGCUUGAUCUCCUUUACGAUUU
This 2844-nucleotide long non-coding RNA is filed under the name Olea europaea subsp. europaea. The record is from RNAcentral. Lineage: Eukaryota; Viridiplantae; Streptophyta; Magnoliopsida; Lamiales; Oleaceae.